This 443-nucleotide ribosomal RNA is filed under the name uncultured bacterium. Its description in RNAcentral is "partial 16S ribosomal RNA". It matches the Rfam family "Bacterial small subunit ribosomal RNA", at positions 338 to 795 of the family's 1533-position model. The record is from RNAcentral.
CCUACGGGUGGCAGCAGUGGGGAAUAUUGGACAAUGGGGGGAACCCUGAUCCAGCGACGCCGCGUGAGUGAAGAAGUAUUUCGGUAUGUAAAGCUCUAUCAGUAGGGAAGAAAGAAAUGACGGUACCUGACUAAGAAGCCUCGGCUAACUACGUGCCAGCAGCCGCGGUAAUACGUAGGGGGCAAGCGUUAUCCGGAUUUACUGGGUGUAAAGGGAGCGUAGGCGGCGCGGCAAGGUUGAAGUGAAAGGCAGGGGCUUAACCCCUGAACUGCUUUUGAAACUGCCAUGCUAGAGUGCUGGAGAGGUAGGUGGAAUACCUGGUGUAGCGGUGAAAUGCGUAGAUAUUAGGAGGAACACCGGUGGCGAAGGCAGCUUACUGGACAGUAACUGACGUUGAGGCUCGAAAGCGUGGGGAGCAAACAGGAUUAGAUACCCGGGUAGUC